Molecule: ribosomal RNA, 460 nt
Filed under: uncultured bacterium
Lineage: Bacteria
Description: partial 16S ribosomal RNA
Rfam family: Bacterial small subunit ribosomal RNA
Source: RNAcentral
CCUACGGGUGGCAGCAGUGAGGAAUAUUGGUCAAUGGCCGGAAGGCUGAACCAGCCAUGCCGCGUGAAGGUCAGUGCCCUAUGGGCGUUAAACUUCUUUUGUUCUGGAGCAAUAAUGGUCACGUUUGGCCAGACGAGAGUACCGUACGAAUAAGCAUCGGCUCACUCCGUGCCAGCAGCCGCGGUAAUACGGGGGAUGCAAGCGUUAUCCGGAGUUAUUGGGGUUAAAGGGGGCGUAGGCGGUGAGGUAAGUCAGCGGUGAAAUGCCCCCGCUCAACGGGGUGAAGUGCCAUUGAUACUGGCGUGCUGGAGUGCGGAUGACGUGGGAGGAAUGUGUGGUGUAGCGGUGAAAUGCAUAGAUAUCACACAGAACACCGAUUGCGAAGGCAUCUCACGAAUCCGCGAUUGACGCUGAUGCACGAAAGCGUGGGUAUCAAACAGGAUUAGAUACCCGAGUAGUC